CCCUUAGAUGUUCUGGGUCGCACGCGCGCUACACUGAUGAAUGCAACGAGCUCUACCCUUGACCGAAAGGCCCGGGUAAACUUGUGAAACUUCAUCGUGAUGGGGAUAGAUUAUUGCAAUUAUUAAUCUUCAACGAGGAAUUCCUAGUAAGCGCGAGUCAUCAGCUCGCGUUGAUUACGUCCCUGCCCUUUGUACACACCGCCCGUCGCUCCUACCGAUUGAAUGGUCCGGUGAAAUCUUCGGAUUGCUGACCAAGAUCCAGCAAUGGAGCUUGGUUGCGAGAAGUUGAUUAAACCUUAUUAUUUAGAGGAAGGAGAAGUCGUAACA
This 327-nucleotide ribosomal RNA is filed under the name uncultured eukaryote. RNAcentral's name for it is "partial 18S ribosomal RNA". It matches the Rfam family "Eukaryotic small subunit ribosomal RNA", at positions 1470 to 1796 of the family's 1831-position model. The record is from RNAcentral.